RNAcentral lists this ribosomal RNA (542 nucleotides) under uncultured fungus. Its description in RNAcentral is "eukaryotic LSU rRNA". The stretch from base 191 to 344 matches the Rfam family "5.8S ribosomal RNA". The record is from RNAcentral. Lineage: Eukaryota; Fungi.
AAGUCGUAACAAGGUUUCCGUAGGUGAACCUGCGGAAGGAUCAUUACCGUUGGGGCUCCGGCCCCAAUCAAGAUACCACCCCUUGCAUUUUGAGUACCCUCUGUUUCCUCGGCGGGCUCGCCCGCCAACGGGGACCACACCAAACCCUUCUGUAGUUGCAGUAAGCGUCUUAAAACAAAAAAAAAAUCAAAACUUUCAACAACGGAUCUCUUGGUUCUGGCAUCGAUGAAGAACGCAGCGAAAUGCGAUAAGUAGUGUGAAUUGCAGAAUUCAGUGAAUCAUCGAAUCUUUGAACGCACAUUGCGCCCUUUGGUAUUCCUUAGGGCAUGCCUGUUCGAGCGUCAUCUAACCCCCUCAAGCACUGCUUGGUGUUGGGCGCCUUGUCCCGCCUCGGGCGUGGACUCGCCUCAAAAGUAUUGGCGGCCUGUGUAUUGGCUUCGAGCGCAGCAGACUCGCGCCUCGCAAACCCAUGGCACGGGCGUCCAUCAAGACGCACCCCAAAGUUUGACCUCGGAUCAGGUAGGGAUACCCGCUGAACUUAA